GUUUUUUUGAUGCUGCUGCUUAGAUCACUUAAUGUUCUUCUGCUAUUGGUUGCAAUCCUUGUCCACUAGUCCUUUUAAGACACAAACAUGUGAUUUUAUUUGGGAACCUCUACUGGCUUUUGAUAAGCAAAUAUCAUUACAGAUGCUGUCAUUGGCAAAUCAUGGCACAUCUUCCUAUGCAGUCCUUUCAGAGAGUAUCAGUCUAUCACCAAUAUUAGACUACAGCAGCUUUGCUGCUGUGACAAAUUUUAAAUUAAAUUUUUAAAAGCGCAGGAAGAUAAUGAUUUCCAAUAAAUACUGUGAAAUUCACUUCCUAUGGUAGUAAAAGACACACAAGUUACAACGCACUAAAAUUUAUACGUUUGCUGCGAUUCACCUUUAAGGAACGCAAGAGGAGGAUUCAUAGCUCUUUUUGAAGUCUGACAUGUCUGGGAGAUUUGCUUGUGUAUGUAGUUUUCCUGCAGUAAACCAAUCUACUGGACAGGGAUGGGAAUAUUGUGCCUUUGAUAGCACGGGUGAUGAAGAUAUCUUGGGGGAACUUUACACUUGGCAGCUGCAUUUAAAAGUAGCAGACCCCACCUUUCAAAGAGAAAGAAAGACCAUCUUUAAAAGCCCUAACAUCAUAUUUAAGAUCCUCUCCACACCAGGCUUAUUUUGCUUGCCUUCUGGCUUUUUUUCCUCCAUGGGAAAGGAAUAUCUCUUUUGACAGAAAGACCCCCAACAAGCCUGAAUGAGAAGGCUGGUUCUUA
This 749-nucleotide long non-coding RNA is filed under the name Anser brachyrhynchus (Pink-footed goose). Its description in RNAcentral is "lncRNA (ENSABRG00000018379.1)". Lineage: Eukaryota; Metazoa; Chordata; Aves; Anseriformes; Anatidae. The record is from RNAcentral.